UACGGAGGGGGCUAGCGUUGUUCGGAAUUACUGGGCGUAAAGCGCACGUAGGCGGGUUGUUAAGUCAGGGGUGAAAUCCCGGAGCUCAACUCCGGAACUGCCUUUGAUACUCCCGCGCUUGAGAACUGGAGGGGAGACCGGAAUUCACGGUGGAGCGGUGAAAUGCGCAGAUAUCAGGAGGAACACCGGUGGCGAAGGCGGGUCUCUGGGCCGAUACUGACGCUGAGGAGCGAAAGCGUGGGGAGCAAACAGG
RNAcentral lists this ribosomal RNA (253 nucleotides) under uncultured bacterium. RNAcentral describes it as "partial 16S ribosomal RNA". It matches the Rfam family "Bacterial small subunit ribosomal RNA", at positions 524 to 776 of the family's 1533-position model. The record is from RNAcentral.